GCCAGGCAUGGUGGCGGGUGCCUGUAAUCCCAGCUACUUGAGAGGCUGAGGCAGAAGAAUUGCUUGAACCCAGGAGGCAGAGGUUGCAGUGAGCCAAGAUUGCGCCACUGCACUCCAGCCUGGGUAACAGGGCAAGAUUCUGUCUCAA
Molecule: signal recognition particle RNA, 148 nt
Filed under: Pan troglodytes (chimpanzee)
Lineage: Eukaryota; Metazoa; Chordata; Mammalia; Primates; Hominidae
Description: Metazoan signal recognition particle RNA
Rfam family: Metazoan signal recognition particle RNA
About the family: The signal recognition particle (SRP) is a universally conserved ribonucleoprotein. It is involved in the co-translational targeting of proteins to membranes.
Source: Rfam by way of RNAcentral